RNAcentral lists this ribosomal RNA (107 nucleotides) under Periophthalmus magnuspinnatus. The record is from RNAcentral. Lineage: Eukaryota; Metazoa; Chordata; Actinopteri; Gobiiformes; Gobiidae.
GUUUAUGGCCAAACCUCCUUGUGAAUGACCAGGACCAAUCUGAUCACUGAAGCCAAGCAGGGUUGGGCCUGCUUUGGACUUGGAUGAGAGACCACAGUCUGUGAACC